UUCUGUAGCAAGGUUAACCGAAUAGGGGAGCCGGAGGGAAACCGAGUCUUAAUUGGGCGUUAAGUUGCAGGGUAUAGACCCGAAACCCGGUGAUCUAGCCAUGGGCAGGUUGAAGGUUGGGUAACACUAACUGGAGGACCGAACCGACUAAUGUUGAAAAAUUAGCGGAUGACCUGUGGCUGGGGGUGAAAGGCCAAUCAAACCGGGAGAUAGCUGGUUCUCCCCGAAAGCUAUUUAGGUAGCGCCUCGUGAAUUCAUCUCCGGGGGUAGAGCACUGUUUCGGCUAGGGGGCCAUCCCGGCUUACCAACCCGAUGCAAACUGCGAAUACCGGAGAAUGUUAUCACGGGAGACACACGGCGGGUGCUAACGUCCGUCGUGAAGAGGGAAACAACCCAGACCGCCAGCUAAGGUCCCAAAGUCAUGGUUAAGUGGGAAACGAUGUGGGAAGGCCCAGACAGCCAGGAUGUUGGCUUAGAAGCAGCCAUCAUUUAAAGAAAGCGUAAUAGCUCACUGGUCGAGUCGGCCUGCGCGGAAGAUGUAACGGGGCUAAACCAUGCACCGAAGCUGCGGCAGCGACGCUUAUGCGUUGUUGGGUAGGGGAGCGUUCUGUAAGCCUGCGAAGGUGGCCUGUGAGGGUUGCUGGAGGUAUCAGAAGUGCGAAUGCUGACAUAAGUAACGAUAAAGCGGGUGAAAAGCCCGCUCGCCGGAAGACCAAGGGUUCCUGUCCAACGUUAAUCGGGGCAGGGUGAGUCGACCCCUAAGGCGAGGCCGAAAGGCGUAGUCGAUGGGAAACGGGUUAAUAUUCCCGUACUUGGUGUUACUGCGAAGGGGGGACGGAGAAGGCUAUGUUGGCCGGGCGACGGUUGUCCCGGUUUAAGCGUGUAGGUGUGUGUUCCAGGUAAAUCCGGUUCACUUUAACACUGAGGCGUGACGACGAGGCACUACGGUGCUGAAGCAACAAAUGCCCUGCUUCCAGGAAAAGCCUCUAAGCAUCAGGUAACAUCAAAUCGUACCCCAAACCGACACAGGUGGUCAGGUAGAGAAUACCAAGGCGCUUGAGAGAACUCGGGUGAAGGAACUAGGCAAAAUGGUGCCGUAACUUCGGGAGAAGGCACGCUGACACGUAGGUGAAGUGAUUUACUCAUGGAGCUGAAGUCAGUCGAAGAUACCAGCUGGCUGCAACUGUUUAUUAAAAACACAGCACUGUGCAAACACGAAAGUGGACGUAUACGGUGUGACGCCUGCCCGGUGCCGGAAGGUUAAUUGAUGGGGUCAGCGCAAGCGAAGCUCCUGAUCGAAGCCCCGGUAAACGGCGGCCGUAACUAUAACGGUCCUAAGGUAGCGAAAUUCCUUGUCGGGUAAGUUCCGACCUGCACGAAUGGCGUAAUGAUGGCCAGGCUGUCUCCACCCGAGACUCAGUGAAAUUGAACUCGCUGUGAAGAUGCAGUGUACCCGCGGCAAGACGGAAAGACCCCGUGAACCUUUACUAUAGCUUGACACUGAACAUUGAGCCUUGAUGUGUAGGAUAGGUGGGAGGCUUUGAAGUGUGGACGCCAGUCUGCAUGGAGCCGACCUUGAAAUACCACCCUUUAAUGUUUGAUGUUCUAACGUGGACCCGUUACCCGGGUUGCGGACAGUGUCUGGUGGGUAGUUUGACUGGGGCGGUCUCCUCCUAAAGAGUAACGGAGGAGCACGAAGGUUGGCUAAUCCUGGUCGGACAUCAGGAGGUUAGUGCAAUGGCAUAAGCCAGCUUGACUGCGAGCGUGACGGCGCGAGCAGGUGCGAAAGCAGGUCAUAGUGAUCCGGUGGUUCUGAAUGGAAGGGCCAUCGCUCAACGGAUAAAAGGUACUCCGGGGAUAACAGGCUGAUACCGCCCAAGAGUUCAUAUCGACGGCGGUGUUUGGCACCUCGAUGUCGGCUCAUCACAUCCUGGGGCUGAAGUAGGUCCCAAGGGUAUGGCUGUUCGCCAUUUAAAGUGGUACGCGAGCUGGGUUUAGAACGUCGUGAGACAGUUCGGUCCCUAUCUGCCGUGGGCGCUGGAGAACUGAGGGGGGCUGCUCCUAGUACGAGAGGACCGGAGUGGACGCAUCACUGGUGUUCGGGUUGUCAUGCCAAUGGCACUGCCCGGUAGCUAAAUGCGGAAGAGAUAAGUGCUGAAAGCAUCUAAGCACGAAACUUGCCCCGAG
Molecule: ribosomal RNA, 2187 nt
Filed under: Salmonella enterica subsp. enterica serovar Enteritidis
Lineage: Bacteria; Pseudomonadati; Pseudomonadota; Gammaproteobacteria; Enterobacterales; Enterobacteriaceae
Description: partial 23S ribosomal RNA
Rfam family: Bacterial large subunit ribosomal RNA
Source: RNAcentral